This 307-nucleotide ribosomal RNA is filed under the name uncultured eukaryote. RNAcentral's name for it is "partial 18S ribosomal RNA". It matches the Rfam family "Eukaryotic small subunit ribosomal RNA", at positions 1470 to 1796 of the family's 1831-position model. The record is from RNAcentral.
CCCUUAGACGUUCUGGGCCGCACGCGCGCUACACUGACACAGGCAACGAGCUUUCCUUUACCGAAAGGUAUGGGUAAUCUUUUGAAACUGUGUCGUGCUGGGGAUAGAUCCUUGCAAUUUUUGAUCUUAAACGAGGAAUUCCUAGUAAGCGCGAGUCAUCAACUCGCGUUGAUUACGUCCCUGCCCUUUGUACACACCGCCCGUCGCUACUACCGAUUGAAUGGCUUAGUGAGGCCUCAGGAUCCGCGCUUAAUGUGUGGAGAAUUUGGACAAACUACGUCAUUUAGAGGAAGCAAAAGUCGUAACA